GCGGGUAUAGCUCAAUGGCAGAGUACCGGCUUCCCAAGCCGGUGAUGCGGGUCCGAUUCCCGUUACCCGCUCCA
Molecule: transfer RNA, 74 nt
Filed under: Clostridiaceae bacterium
Lineage: Bacteria; Bacillati; Bacillota; Clostridia; Eubacteriales; Clostridiaceae
Also listed under: 1 other name
Description: tRNA-Gly
Rfam family: tRNA
About the family: Transfer RNA (tRNA) molecules are approximately 80 nucleotides in length. Their secondary structure includes four short double-helical elements and three loops (D, anti-codon, and T loops). Further hydrogen bonds mediate the characteristic L-shaped molecular structure. tRNAs have two regions of fundamental functional importance: the anti-codon, which is responsible for specific mRNA codon recognition, and the 3' end, to which the tRNAs corresponding amino acid is attached (by aminoacyl-tRNA synthetases). tRNAs cope with the degeneracy of the genetic code in two manners: having more than one tRNA (with a specific anti-codon) for a particular amino acid; and 'wobble' base-pairing, i.e. permitting non-standard base-pairing at the 3rd anti-codon position.
Source: RNAcentral